GAUGAACGCUGGCGGCGUGCUUAACACAUGCAAGUCGAACGAAGCACUUAUGAUUGAGAUUUCGGUUGAUUUUAUAAGUGACUUAGUGGCGGACGGGUGAGUAACGCGUGGGUAACCUGCCUCGUACAGGGGGAUAACAGUUAGAAAUGACUGCUAAUACCGCAUAAGCGCACAGUACCGCAUGGUACAGUGUGAAAAACUCCGGUGGUAUGAGAUGGACCCGCGUCUGAUUAGCUAGUUGGUAAGGUAACGGCUUACCAAGGCGACGAUCAGUAGCCGGACUGAGAGGUUGAACGGCCACAUUGGAACUGAGAUACGGUCCAGACUCCUACGGGAGGCAGCAGUGGGGAAUAUUGGGCAAUGGGCGAAAGCCUGACCCAGCGACGCCGCGUGAGGGAAGAAGGUCUUCGGAUUGUAAACCUUUGUUGACAGGGAAGAAGAAAGUGACGGUACCUGUAAAGAAAGCCACGGCUAACUACGUG
This 482-nucleotide ribosomal RNA is filed under the name uncultured bacterium. RNAcentral describes it as "bacterial SSU rRNA". It matches the Rfam family "Bacterial small subunit ribosomal RNA", at positions 28 to 507 of the family's 1533-position model. The record is from RNAcentral.